Scleropages formosus (Asian bonytongue) is the source of this 1211-nucleotide long non-coding RNA. RefSeq lists it as uncharacterized. The record is from RefSeq and is a predicted model, not a curated record. The transcript has 3 exons. NCBI's taxonomy places the organism in Eukaryota, Metazoa, Chordata, Actinopteri, Osteoglossiformes, Osteoglossidae.
CCCUCACAGUCACUCUUGCACAGGUGCUUCAGCAGUUAGCAAAACAUAUUUACUUUGCUUUGUUUCUUUGUGGAACACAUAUCUCCUAUUGUGGACCUUCUUUUGCAUCUGUCUUUUUAGCAUAAAUAAGUGUCUUUAUCAAGGAGGCACAUCAAAGUACUACCUACCACUGCCAAUAUCGUGUGUUGGGCUUCAGAUGAUCCAGUAAAGUGUUUUACUUUAUUGGCUGCAAGGGCUACUGUUUUCUACCACAGUUUAACCUGGAGUCACAAGCAGGAUCACAAUACUCAGAGGACCUGAAGAAUCGUACCAGGAGGGACCACUGCUGGUUGUCCACUUACAGAGGACCUUGUUACCAAAUUUAAAAUGGAUUUCUGGAUUGGUCUAACUGAUCGAGACACAGAAGGGACCUGGAAGUGGGUGGACGACACAACCCUUUCCAAAGAGACAUGGUUCUGGGAACCUAAACAGCCUUAUGACUACAAAGGAGAUGAAGAUUGUGUGGGGUCCAGGAAUGACUACAAUGAACUUUCAAAAAAAUUGAAUGACUUUCAUUGCAAUGAAAUGCUGCACUAGAUUUGUGAAAAAAGUGUCAGUCAUUAUAGUACAUAGUUACCCAUAACAGAAUGUUCAAAAACAUGCAGAUGUACGCAAACAUGCAUUAAUUUCCCCCCAUUACUGCGAUAACUGAAAAUUAAUGUUUGCAAUUUACUUACAAAAUAUUUAACUUUUUCAAGGAAGCAGAAGUUUGAGGACAAAUGUAUUUUAUAUGCAUAUAAUUACUUUUCAUGUAUCAAACCAAUUUAUUUGUGCUACAUGUGCAUAUAUCUGGCUAGAUCAUGUGCAUAAUGUAUAGAUCAUAUCUGCUUUAAUACUAGUAUGAUAUAAAAGAUCUACUCUUAUGCUUCACUUUGCUUCUGUUUGUAUAUAUGAUGUGUUGUCCUGUUGUGCAGCAUAGUGUUUGUACAAUGAUGAACAUGUUAAUUUUGCUAAAACACCUUUCCUGAAGCUUGUUAUGAGAUACAUCAGUAGCAGGUGCUCAGGCCCGAUAAAAGAAAGUUUGACAGAUGAUGGUGAAAUUGAUUUAUUUUGGGUGCAGAAGUGUAGACGCAAGUGUAGCUAUUGUGGUAUACAUAUAGUGUGCUUUGGUGGUUUUUUUUUUUUUGGAGUAUGAAAAUAGAUAGAGAAGAUAAAUAAAUAGUAUAUAUGUA